Pristionchus pacificus is the source of this 61-nucleotide non-coding RNA. NCBI's taxonomy places the organism in Eukaryota, Metazoa, Nematoda, Chromadorea, Rhabditida, Neodiplogasteridae. The record is from Rfam.
UCUUCAUUUCACGUGCUCUCUCACCGGUUAGAGAAAUGAAAGAGCACGUGAAAUGAAGAGA